RNAcentral lists this unclassified non-coding RNA (405 nucleotides) under Puccinia setariae. Lineage: Eukaryota; Fungi; Basidiomycota; Pucciniomycetes; Pucciniales; Pucciniaceae. The record is from RNAcentral.
UUUUUAUCCUUUUUCUGUACUUCAGGGCUAGUUGUCAUGUUUUGACUUAGAGAUUUUUUUUCAAAUAUGGAAAAUUCCAUAAAUUUUUUUGCCUUGUAAAAUUUGUUGGGUGGCUGUACUUGCGUUUCAAUGAAAUGAUAUCAUAAAUAUUUUUACCUGGUAAUAUUUGCUCUACAGGGGUGGGACUUAGAGAAAUGUUUCAAAUAUUGUUACUACCUCAGGGCUAGUUGCCUAACAGGGUGGGCUGUAGGGUUGGUUGGUCCCCCAGGGGUCAGGAUGUUGGGAGGAUGCAAUACUUCAGGACUAGUUUCUAGUAGAUAUGUUGCCAGCCAAGGACCAUAUUUUUGUGUUACACUUUCAGCUUCUCUCAGCUAUAACACCUUCAACACAAGGAGAAAGUCCCCG